ACGUGCAGUCGAACGGUAACAUUUCUAGCUUGCUAGAAGAUGACGAGUGGCGGACGGGUGAGUAAUGCUUGGGAACUUGCCUUUGCGAGGGGGAUAACAGUUGGAAACGACUGCUAAUACCGCAUAAUGUCUUCGGACCAAACGGGGCUUCGGCUCCGGCGCAAAGAGAGGCCCAAGUGAGAUUAGCUAGUUGGUAAGGUAACGGCUUACCAAGGCGACGAUCUCUAGCUGUUCUGAGAGGAAGAUCAGCCACACUGGGACUGAGACACGGCCCAGACUCCUACGGGAGGCAGCAGUGGGGAAUAUUGCACAAUGGGGGAAACCCUGAUGCAGCCAUGCCGCGUGUGUGAAGAAGGCCUUCGGGUUGUAAAGCACUUUCAGUUGUGAGGAAAAGUUAGUAGUUAAUACCUGCUAGCCGUGACGUUAACAACAGAAGAAGCACCGGCUAACUCCGUGCCAGCAGCCGCGGUAAUACGGAGGGUGCGAGCGUUAAUCGGAAUUACUGGGCGUAAAGCGCACGCAGGCGGUUUGUUAAGCUAGAUGUGAAAGCCCCGGGCUCAACCUGGGAUGGUCAUUUAGAACUGGCAGACUAGAGUCUUGGAGAGGGGAGUGGAAUUCCAGGUGUAGCGGUGAAAUGCGUAGAUAUCUGGGAGGAACAUCAGUGGCGAAAGGCGACUCCCUGGCCAAAGACUGACGCUCAUGUGCGAAAGUGUGGGUAGCGAACAGGAUUAGAUACCCUGGUAGUCCACACCGUAAACGCUGUCUACUAGCUGUGUGUGCCUUUAAGGCGUGCGUAGCGAAGCUAACGCGCUAAGUAGACCGCCUGGGGA
RNAcentral lists this ribosomal RNA (830 nucleotides) under uncultured marine bacterium. Its description in RNAcentral is "bacterial SSU rRNA". It matches the Rfam family "Bacterial small subunit ribosomal RNA", at positions 53 to 879 of the family's 1533-position model. The record is from RNAcentral.